RNAcentral lists this unclassified non-coding RNA (305 nucleotides) under Sipha flava (yellow sugarcane aphid). RNAcentral describes it as "zinc finger MYM-type protein 1-like, transcript variant X1". Lineage: Eukaryota; Metazoa; Arthropoda; Insecta; Hemiptera; Aphididae. The record is from RNAcentral.
UUUUUUGAAAGAAUUUGCAUUAUCUUUGGAAUUUCAAUCGUUUCAUUGCGCGGAUAAUUCUCGCAAUUAUCGACGACUCGUUAUUUUACAAAUCCAAAAAUAUUCUUUUGUACUUCGUUUUUACAACAUAUAUGUAGAAGAUAAGAUAAGAUUUUAAUUUUUAAGAAAAACAAGAAAUUAUUUGUUUUAUCAAUCAUUUGUAAUAAAAAACAUCCAGUUUUAAUGCUACAAAUAAAAAAUUACAAUCAACUGAUAUUGAUCUUCAUACAGUAUUAGAACUAUAUAAUGGCCUUGAAAAUUACUUG